Long non-coding RNA from Antechinus flavipes (yellow-footed antechinus), 2896 nucleotides. RefSeq lists it as uncharacterized. The transcript has 3 exons. Lineage: Eukaryota; Metazoa; Chordata; Mammalia; Dasyuromorphia; Dasyuridae. The record is from RefSeq and is a predicted model, not a curated record.
GAAGCCAGCACUAAUUAAGCACCACUUCCCAAAGGUCAGGGCUAAGAAGCCAGCACUAAUUAAGCACCACUUCCCAAAGGUCAGGGCUAAGAAGCCAGCACUGAUUAAGCACCACUUCCAAAGUCAGAGAUAAGAAGCCAGCACUGAUUAAGCACCACUUCCAAAGUCAGAGAUAAGAAGCCAGCACUGAUUAAGCACCACUUCCAAAGUCAGAGAUAAGAAGCCAGCACUGAUUAAGCACCACUUCCAAAGUCAGAGAUAAGAAGCCAGCACUGAUUAAGCACCACUUCCCAAAGGUCAGGACUUAGAAGCCAGCACUAAUUAAGCACCACUUCCAAAGUCAGAGAUAAGAAGCCAGCACUGAUUAAGCACCACUUCCAAAGUCAGAGAUAAGAAGCCAGCACUGAUUAAGCACCACUUCCCAAAGGUCAGGGCUAAGAAGCCAGCACUGAUUAAGCACCACUUCCAAAGUCAGAGAUAAGAAGCCAGCACUAAUUAAGCACCACUUCCCAAAGGUCAGGGCUAAGAAGCCAGCACUAAUUAAGCACCACUUCCCAAAGGUCAGGGCUAAGAAGCCAGCACUAAUUAAGCACCACUUCCCAAAGGUCAGGGCUAAGAAGCCAGCACUAAUUAAGCACCACUUCCCUAAGGUCAGGGCUAAGAAGCAAGUGUUGACAGAGGGCUCACUUUUGCAUCUUUCAUUAAAGGUCAUGGAUCCAACCUUCUUUGUCCUGGAGACAAAGGGCCCAAAGAGGGCUGUGGGGAGCUUAUGGGCUCACAAGUUGUAAAUGGUAAAACAGGAUUUGAACCCAGAACCUCUGGGGACUAAUCCUUAAAGAUGGAGCGUUCGGGGGCAGUGAGGAGACUGUUUCCGGCUGGGCAGGGAUGAACCUUUUCCAGUUUCCCUUCUAGAACAUUGAAAACCGGGUUUCUCUGAAGGCGCCCGAUAUUUCUAGAGCUGGCAAACGCUCCGGCUUAAAGUGGAUGGACAGGAGGCCGGUGGUGGGGCGGUGGCCAUCACCAGGGUCCCAUCCUAUCUGUGCCCUCCCCAGAGCCCUUUGGGAGCCCCAAGGCACCAGCCAGGAGGCCCAGGGAUCUGGGGCAGCCGGGGCCGCUCCGCCGGAGAGUCUGGAUCCCCCCCCAGCCCAGUCCAGGCCCGGUAGGAGGGAGGGCCCGGAAAGCAGAGGGAGGCUGCCGGCCACAUAUCCCUAACGCAUUGUCCCCCAAGGGCCUUGGCUUCCUCAUCUGCAAAAUGGGUGCGAUAAUAAUGCACCUAGGUUUAUUAUAAGGCUCAAAUGAGAUGGUCUUUGUAAAGAGCUCAGCUAAAGGCCUGGCACAUAGUAGGUGUUUAAUACUAUUUUUUCUCUCCUCCCUUCCCUCCCUCCCUCUCUCCCUCCCUCCCUUCCUUCCUUCCUUCCCGUGAAGACUGAGAACAAGAGAACAAAAUUACUAGCUGUUAUAGUGAUGAUGGCGGUGACGAUACGACUAGUUGGAGCCUCAGUGUUGCCAUCUGUAUAAUAGGGACGAUCAUGAUUGUCUUCCUGAGAUCCAGAGACUGUUUUUGUCCCUGAGCUAAAAUAUUUUACUGCGUUGAACCUCAGUUUCCUCAUCUGUAAAAUGUUAUGUAAAUCACAAAUGUCAAAAGUGUCGAAUUUUAGAGUUCUCUCUGUGUGUGCCCGUGUGUCCCUGUAAUCAUACGGUCUGGAUAUCUUCUGCAUCAGAGAAUGACAAGGAACUUCAGAGUUGAUCUCGGGUGCCCCAGCCUUCCUCGGAAGACCACCGGUGACAGGGAACUCGCUACCUCAUAAGGCAACACACUCUAGUGUGAAUCGGCUCAGACAAAUGUAUAUUCUUUGAAGGAGGGACCAUUUCAUUUUGGCCUUCAUUCUCAAACCUGACAGUGCAUUGGGCAUAGUAGGAAUCCAGCCUGUGCCAGACCCAUGAGUCACCGCCGGCACCCAGAGGGGGACAACACCUUGGGCGCAGAGCGGGAGGAUCGUGCAGGGCCCCGGGGAGGAAAAAGCAGGGCCAGCCAGACCUGGACCCCGAGGAGCCUGAGAAGGGCCGGGAGAGGAGACCAAGAGACCCGGUCUGGUUUGUCAGUGGCUGAUUCCUGGGAGUGACUCAUCAGUCAUUUCCUCUUCUACAAACAGCUAUUACGUAUGAGGGAAAAAGAGAGGCAAAGGUUCUUUCUACCCUCCCACCCUGACACCCCCUCAGGGUCUCAGCCCCCUCCCACCCUGACACCCCCUGUUCUCAGGCCCCUUCCACCCUGAUACCCCCUGUUCUAAGCCCCCUCCCACCCUGACAUUCCCUGUUCUCAGCCCCCUCCCACCCUGAUACCCCCUGUUCUCGGGCCCCUCCCACCCUGACACCCCCUGUUCUCGGGCCCCUCCCACCCUGACACCCCCUGUUCUCGGGCCCCUCCCACCCUGACACCCCCUGUUCUCAGCCCCCUCCCACCCUGACACCCCCUGUUCUCGGGCCCCUCCCACCCUGACACCCCCUGUUCUCGGGCCCCUCCCACCCUGACACCCCCUGUUCUCAGCCCCCUCCCACCCUGACACCCCCUGUUCUCAGGCUCCCAGAUGGGCUGCAUGCAGAGUGCCAUCUGGCAGAACCCAGGAGGUCCAGAAUCCCCUGGGAACAAGGGACUCGGGCUUUCAGCUGUGGGAGCCCCUCCCGGCUCCCCGCCCCAUUCUACCUCGGCCCACCCAGGAGCUAGCCCAGCCUGCCCGUGACUUCCAGCCCAGAGCUGGGUGUAGCCGGGCCUGUCCCGGGCGGGUCCUGGCCCAAUGACACAGGCCUUUAUCUGCUCUCAGAAGCAAGGCCGCUGUCUCGGAUGGAGCUUGGGGUGCGGAGCAAGAACCAGAAAAACGUGUUCGGGCUGGGAGCC